RNAcentral lists this ribosomal RNA (524 nucleotides) under uncultured bacterium. RNAcentral's name for it is "bacterial SSU rRNA". It matches the Rfam family "Bacterial small subunit ribosomal RNA", at positions 28 to 533 of the family's 1533-position model. The record is from RNAcentral.
GGCUAACGCUGGCGGCGUGUCUUAGCCAUGCAAGUCGAGCGGACUUAUGGGGUAACUUAUAAGUCAGCGGCGGACGGCGGAGUAACACGUAGCUAACCUACCCUCUGGACGGGGAUAACCUACCGAAAGGUGGGCUAAUACCCGAUGUAGUCAUCCUGUAUAGGGGUGAUGAAAGGUGGGCUUCUGUUUACAAGCUCAUGCUGGAGAGGGGGCUGCGGCCUAUCAGGUAGUUGGUAGGGUAAUAGCCUACCAAGCCGAUGACGGGUAGCCGGCCUGAGAGGGUGACCGGCCCGAGGGGCACUGAGAUACGGGUCCCACUCCUACGGGAGGCAGCAGGCUAGAAAUUUGGGCAAUGGGGGAAACCCUGACCCAGUGACGCCGCGUGCAGGAAGGAGCCCUUCGGGGUGUAAACUGCUGUCGUGUAGGGAGAAGGGUACUAAGGUGAACAAUCUUAGUACUUGACGGUACUACAGGAGGAAGCCCAGGCUAACCUCGUGCCAGCAGCCGCGGUAAGAGUCACGUCG